AUGAUAGGUCAUAAACUAAUCUAAACUUUAGGAAAAGAGGAACAAAAGAAGUUAACCUAUUUUCGACUACAACACACCCUAUUAUGGUUUGUUGGGAAUAGUAGGACUUUAUUGUUACAAUGAGUGUAAUGACUUUGAUGCCAAAGCUUAUAUAAGUGAAAUAAUUGAAUAAUGUGUAAAUCACUGUACCUGUUUUUAAAAUGUUCUCUGUAUUUUUAUUUCAUAUAAGAAGGGUUUUGAUUAUUUUGAAAUUUCAAAAACAAGAAUCGGCAGAGAUAUAUUUUUUAUAAAUUAAAAUAUUUUUUUCCUAUCUUUAUAAAUAUGUAAACAUGGAUACUCCAUGCUAUCCAAUCUAAGAUGACCCUACAUUCUUAAUACUGUUUCCCCAAUUCAUCUUACUUUUAUAAUGCCCAAAUUCCCCUUCUGUGUCUCUCUUAGCACCCCCACUUAAAUACCUAUUUAUUCCACCUGCCUCCCUUGUCUCUCCUCAUGCCCCAUACUUUGUGUCUUGUCCAAUGCCACUCAUCCCUUUUACCUUAUCCAAUGCCCCCAUCACCCACUAUUUUAUCUUACUCUAUGUAUCCAUUACACCCCCAUUUCUCCCAUUGCCCUCACCAACCACUUAGGUCUAUCCAUAUUCCUUUGGCUGUCACCCCAAUGCCUCUUUUUUGGUACAGCACUAUGUGUGUGCUUUUGACGGAAGGAAUUUGAAGAAAUAUUGUCUAAUUUUUAUCACUUCUACCAGCAUGUUAGGAGUAGGAGCAGGUUUCUUUAAUCUCUAUAAUGGCAUACUAGUGCCAGAGUUGGAGAGGAACAGCUUGGGAGGCCUUUCAUGUCACAGAUAACACUACAUUGUGAAAAAUUGCACAUUUGUUUUUAUAUACCACACUACCUGGGGUAGCCCUUAUAAAAUGUAUAUGAGGUAUGUCGCAAAUGUUUUAUUCUUUUUGUCCUCGUUCUAAGAUUGUAAUAUCAAAAUAUGAUCACUGACUUUCUAU
Non-coding RNA from Pelobates cultripes (western spadefoot toad), 998 nucleotides. The record is from the annotation of a GenBank genome assembly. Lineage: Eukaryota; Metazoa; Chordata; Amphibia; Anura; Pelobatidae.